UUAAUUGUGCAGAAGUAAAGCCAACAUAAGCAAUGUAAAAAUCAAGUCUUGCUAGUUAAAUAUAAGAAUAAGAAGAACCAAUUACAAGGAAAGCAAAAAAGACUUAUUCAAGGAGUAUGGUGUUAAAAAGUAAAUGAAGUGAAAAUUUUUAAGUGCUAAACUCUACCAACCUAGCUACAAUUCAAAACAUUUACCACUAGAUGGCACUAUUUUAAUGAAGCAGUAAAGCCCGGUGUAAAUUGGGCGCCUGGCAUGUUGUUUUGAACUUGACUCAACAUAAAAAGAUAUUUAUUUCCAGACUGUCCUUGGCUCCAAAGAAGGAGGCAAAGACACACUUGAGGCCUG
RNAcentral lists this long non-coding RNA (345 nucleotides) under Homo sapiens (human). Its description in RNAcentral is "HSALNT0010452". Lineage: Eukaryota; Metazoa; Chordata; Mammalia; Primates; Hominidae. The record is from RNAcentral.